AGGGAUGCCACUGUACAUGUCUGUGCUUGUGCACGUGUGGUGUUCAUGUUUACUUACAUUUGCUAGCUCUGUCCACUGCAAGGGCAUGAUAAGGUCAAGAACCAUAUGUACACCUAGCACUCAGACCUUCGUUUCUAAAGACCUUUAUCCACUGGAAACAGGGCUUCUUUGAAUAAACAGAAGAUUCCAAGGCCGGGGAAGAAAAAGUACAAGGACCUUCACCAGCAAGUGGAGAAGCCAGCAAGUGCCCAGCAUAGCCCCCUCUGGUCCCUCUGCAGUGUGGGUAGGCCAGCAGCACAGGCCAGAAGGAUGGCUGCAAAGGUCAGACUUGAAGCCUUGGUUUUAUGUAAGCUCGGCAACAUUGUCCUUUCAACUACAGUGACUGUCUUCAGGAACACGUUAUGAAAAUAACAUCCUAAUGCCCUUUGGCCUUAACAAUCUGGGACCAUAAGGAAGCUACCGACUCACGAUCCGGUCCCUAGUCAUUGAAGAAACUGUGGAGAGGACUGAUGAUGAAGAGCUUGUGAAAAUGUCACAUUUCUCUCUACAUAAGAGAAUUGGAAAUCAGAUCAAAGAAGCUGGGGAAGAUCAUCUCCUGGGAAAUGAAAGUAAAUGAGUUCUUUUAGGGCAAUACUGUUUUAUUUUAAAAGACAAUAAACCAUGAUGGUUGUGAGAUCAGGCUUUGGAAUCAGAACUGCCGAGUUCAAAUCUUGGCUCUCCCAUUUAAGAACCUUGUGACUUGGCAAGUUAUUUAUAUUUCUUUAUCUGUAAGAUGGAUGCAAUUAUACAUACAUUUUUCAUAGGUUUUAUUGGAGAACUAAAUUAAAAAAAAAAUCCGUACAGAGCUCUUGGUCCAAUGCCAAGCUCAGGAAAUGUGAGCUGCUAUUACCACCAUCCUCCUCCUCCUCCUCUCAUCUCUCCUUGUUUCCCUGUUACUGAACACAGUGUGUGGCAUAUUGUAGGGGCGAGACAAAUGCUGGCCGCAUACAAAUUAAACACUAGCCUGUACAUUUUAGAACCCUAAACAAAUCUCAAAGGCAAAUUUUGGCUAUGCCUCAUGUUAAAGAUGAACUAAUUCAAGCAAAGGCAACAGAAGCAGCAGUGAACUUUACUUGAUCUUUAUUUCUUUAAGCUUGCCAAAAGAAUGAGACAAGUAAGCUCUAGAACUGUCUUUCAUCUUUUUUUGCUGCUUUGUGGUCUCCCAUCGCCUCCCCACACAGAACACUAGCUUAACAGGCAGUGUCUCGGCUACGGAGACACAGAUCUAAACUGUUUAACUGGCCUGGGAAGCCAGUUCUUCCUGCUUCCCCACCGUUCCAUACUCAAUCGGUGGUGGGAUUUGAGGCACGUAUGACUGCAGCUAGCUAAGGUCACAGGGUAUCCUCAUGAACUUAAAGCUAAUACGCUAUGAUUCCUUACAUUCUUCCAUGUAAAAAGGCAGACAGCAGCAAAGAGAUCAAAACAGAGGUCACAAACUCCAUGUUCAAAGUAAGCCCGCAUAAGGAGGCUCAGGGAACAACUACCCACCCUGCUUAAUGCAGAGAGAAAAUUACUCACAUCAUCUGAAGCCACUAAGCCUAUGGGGAUACAGGGAGCUGGGCUGGGAAGGUGUUGAGCCAUGUCAUUUUAAAAAGUAAAAGUCACAUAUUUCUCUUGAUCCCGUUCAUUUGAUCUGCCUUUCAAAGGCAGACUCUUAAGUAAAACCAUUCUCUAAGUUGUCACCUGUUCCUUUAAAACACACACUAGUCAAACGGUGGAGGAAAAAGGUUCCCUCUCCAAAGUAACCCCUGAUACCUCUUUCUGAGUGAAUUCUGAGGUUAAUUGUUAAUCCUGACUUUUACUUAGUCAUAACUUAGGUUUUAGUUAAACUGUACCCUCAACGGUCUGCUUCUUCUUGUAUUGACUUUUCACAUGAGCUACCAAGAAUUCUGUGGUAGAUGCUUAUAACCCACCACAUCUCAAUGGCAAGAAAGGCACUUGGUCUGAGAUUAGCUGAUGUGAUUCCUGAAGUAUAGUUCUAUUUACUUAAGUUAAGGAAUCACAAUUGUCAAUGCUGGACUGUUUUAUUCUUGUCAUUUUAAAAUCGAGGUUACCCACAAUAUGUCUGGAACUGUAUUAACAAAACAAUUUCAUUUCCCACAUUUUGGGCAACACUUUGCCUAAUAAAAAUGUUUGCUAAACUA
Molecule: long non-coding RNA, 2183 nt
Organism: Hyaena hyaena (striped hyena)
Lineage: Eukaryota; Metazoa; Chordata; Mammalia; Carnivora; Hyaenidae
Exons: 2
Source: RefSeq, a predicted model, not a curated record